CAAAGUAUAGCUUAUAUAAAGCAUCUGACUUACACUCAGAAGAACUCAUACAGAUGAAUACUUUGA
Molecule: transfer RNA, 66 nt
Filed under: Geomys arenarius (desert pocket gopher)
Lineage: Eukaryota; Metazoa; Chordata; Mammalia; Rodentia; Geomyidae
Description: tRNA-Val
Rfam family: tRNA
About the family: Transfer RNA (tRNA) molecules are approximately 80 nucleotides in length. Their secondary structure includes four short double-helical elements and three loops (D, anti-codon, and T loops).
Source: RNAcentral